GAUGAACGCUAGCGAUAGGCUUAACACAUGCAAGUCGAGGGGCAGCAUGGUCUUAGCUUGCUAAGGCUGAUGGCGACCGGCGCACGGGUGCGUAACGCGUAUGCAACUUGCCUCACAGAGGGGGAUAACCCGUCGAAAGACGGACUAAUACCGCGUACACUCUAUGUUGGGCAUCCAAUGUAGAGGAAAUGAAAUUCGCUGUGAGAUAGGCAUGCGUCCCAUUAGCUAGUUGGUGAGGUAACGGCUCACCAAGGCGACGAUGGGUAGGGGAACUGAGAGGUUGAACCCCCACACUGGUACUGAGACACGGACCAGACUCCUACGGGAGGCAGCAGUGAGGAAUAUUGGUCAAUGGGCGAGAGCCUGAACCAGCCAAGUCGCGUGAAGGAUGACUGUCUUAGGGAUUGUAAACUUCUUUUAUACGGGAAUAACAAGAGUCACGUGUGGCUCCCUGCAUGUACCGGAUGAAUAAGCAUCGGCUAACUCCGUG
RNAcentral lists this ribosomal RNA (490 nucleotides) under uncultured bacterium. Its description in RNAcentral is "partial 16S ribosomal RNA". It matches the Rfam family "Bacterial small subunit ribosomal RNA", at positions 28 to 507 of the family's 1533-position model. The record is from RNAcentral.